AUUUAGCCAUGCUAGUCGCACGAGUUCAGGCUCGUGGCAGAUAGCUCAGUAACACGUGGCCAAACUGCCCUACAGAUCGCGAUAACUUCGGGAAACUGAGGCUAAUAGCGAAUACGGCUCUCACGUUGGAGUUGCAGAGAGCCGGAAACGCUUCGGUGCUGUAGGAUGUGGCUGCGGCCGAUUAGGUAGACGGUGGGGUAACGGCCCACCGUGCCAAUAAUCGGUACGGGUCGUGAGAGCGAGAACCCGGAGACGGAAUCUGAGACAAGAUUCCGGGCCCUACGGGGCGCAGCAGGCGCGAAACCUUUACACUGCACGACAGUGCGAUAAGGGGACUCCGAGUGCGAGGGCAUACAGUCCUCGCUUUUGUACACCGUAAGGUGGUGUACGAACAAGAACUGGGCAAGACCGGUGCCAGCCGCCGCGGUAAUACCGGCAGUUCGAGUGAUGGCCGCUCUUAUUGGGCCUAAAGCGUUCGUAGCCGGCCACGCAAGUUCGUCGGGAAAUCUGCCCGCUUAACGGGCAGGCGUCCGGCGAAAACUGCUUGGCUUGGGACCGGGAGACUCGAGAAGUACGUUCGGGGUAGGAGUGAAAUCCCAUAAUCCUGAACGGACUACCGAUGGCGAAAGCAUCUCGAGAGAACGGAUCCGACGGUGAGGAACGAAAGCUGGGGUCUCGAACCGGAUUAGAUACCCGGGUAGUCCCAGCUGUUAACGAUGCUCGCUAGGUAUGGCACAGGCCUACGAGCCUGUGCUGUGCCG
This 761-nucleotide ribosomal RNA is filed under the name archaeon RC16. RNAcentral describes it as "bacterial SSU rRNA". It matches the Rfam family "Archaeal small subunit ribosomal RNA", at positions 43 to 803 of the family's 1478-position model. The record is from RNAcentral.